GACGAACGCUGGCGGCGUGCCUAACACAUGCAAGUCGAGCGAAUGAAGUUCCUUCGGGAAUGGAUUUAGCGGCGGACGGGUGAGUAACACGUGGGCAACCUGCCUCAUAGAGGGGAAUAGCCUCCCGAAAGGGAGAUUAAUACCGCAUAAGAUUGUAGUACCGCAUGAUACAGCAAUUAAAGGAGCAAUCCGCUAUGAGAUGGGCCCGCGGCGCAUUAGCUAGUUGGUGAGGUAAUGGCUCACCAAGGCGACGAUGCGUAGCCGACCUGAGAGGGUGAUCGGCCACAUUGGGACUGAGCCACGGCCCAGACUCCUACGGGAGGCAGCAGUGGGGAAUAUUGCACAAUGGGGGAAACCCUGAUGCAGCAACGCCGCGUGAGUGAUGACGGCCUUCGGGUUGUAAAGCUCUGUCUUCAGGGACGAUAAUGACGGUACCUGAGGAGGAAGCCACGGCUAACUACGUG
RNAcentral lists this ribosomal RNA (464 nucleotides) under uncultured bacterium. Its description in RNAcentral is "partial 16S ribosomal RNA". It matches the Rfam family "Bacterial small subunit ribosomal RNA", at positions 28 to 507 of the family's 1533-position model. The record is from RNAcentral.